AAAGUAUAUUAGUUUUUCAUUUCAAAAGCCAGAAAGUGAUGCUUAUAGAUGAGUGUUUAAUUAUUUUACUAAUAGUAUAUCAUAACAAUUCAUUAAAAAUAAUCCGAUAAGUUUAAUUUUACAACACAACACAACACAACAAAAGUCAAAUAAACUCUAAAUGGUAAUGCACGUAGAAGUUUACUAGUUAGUUAUCAAAGCAUUUAGCGUGGACGUACUUAUAUCCCUCAAAUGAUUUUGGGGCAAUUUCAUAGUAAAUUUAUUAAAUUGGGUUUGCCCCAAGGUAUAGAUUAAAGUUCAAUCUAAAAUAAUGUUGUUUUUUAAAAAGUAAAAAAAAAAUUAAUUUAAAGAUUUUUUAAAAAAAUAAAACUGAAUUUUAACUUAAUAAACCGAGUUAAACCGAGUUAACUUCAAAUCAGGUUAAACAGAAUUAAUUUAAAGAUUUUUCUAAAAUAAUGCAGCGCCCGGAACUCUUCUAAUUUCUCUGUUUCUAAUACGAUAUAUUCCUCAUCUCCUACAUAGUAGAACUUUAUCUUGCAGACCAGGAAUGUUAGAGAAUAAUAUAAAUCAUAUCAUGGGACCUCACCCAAUAGCUUAAGCUAUUGAGUUGAGAUGGUUCUUUGACAUGAUAUUAAAGCCUUGAUGACCAAGCGGUCACGAGUUCGAAUCUCACAAUCCCUAUUUAUUUGAUAAAAAUUAAGCACAAGGUAAUGUGGACCUGUGUAAGUUUCAAGUCUGAAAGGCUUUCACUUGAAGGGGUGUGUUAGAAAAUAAUAUAAAUCAUAUCAUGGGAACUUACCUAAUAGUUUAAGUUAUUGAAUUGAGAUAAUUCUUUAAUUUCACAAGGAAUACAAUUAAACACAAGGCACAAAGAUUUGGAGGAUGACUGACCGUAAGGUUUGAGUGAGCAAGGCGUCUUUGGCAUGAUCAUUCUCUGCUCUUGCUUUGACUAUUUGAAACAUUAGAUCAAGCCUGAGUUGAUUUUCAGAGCUCUGCUUGGAGAUUACGUUAGUUUCCUCUCUCAGUUUGGCAGCCUCUUCGCUUAUUUCUUGAAAUCUUUUCCUGAUUUCCUUCUGUCCCUCGCUGAUCUCAACCAUGUCAGCUCUUAUCCUUUUGACGCCCCUGCUUAAUUUCCUGUCAUUAUUUUCUCGUUUCUGUUUCAAGUAAUCUUUAGAUUGUUAGAAAUUAAAACAAAAAAGAAAAUGAAAAUAACAGUCACAAUUUGAGAUGUACAAUCUAAUUAUAAAACACACAAGUCCAAAAACAAUAAAAUGAAGAAGGGCAUGCACUUCUAAAUUAUAACUGCGGAAGUUUUCUUCGAGUUGCUCCGAGAGAAGUCCUCUCGCCAACUAAUUUUGUAUAAAUGCAGCUCUUCAUGGUCAACCUGCAUAUGCAUGAGAGUUUUGCUACGGUGAUGGUGAUAACUUCGUGAGCCAAGUAUUUAAUGAUCGCAAAAUAAAUAAACCUGUGAAGGAAACGUAGGUCGGUCCGUGGAUAAUCGAAAGCAAGUUGCCCACUCUUUUCCUCUGGGCCCCUCGCUAUAAGUCAGCAUUAAAUAAAGAAGAAGACAAUAGUAUUGUGUCUUAUCUUUGAUCGUGCGAUACCACGCGAAGGAUGCUGCUCGAUCUCAAGCUUUCGCACGAUGAUGGCCUUGUGAAGAGCGAAACCGAACUUUGUUUUGACAUCUGUACUUGUGAUGCAGUUAAGUCUGAAUUAGUUGGGAAUCCAUAUAAUUUAAGGAUUUGGAAAUUGCAAGUCAUCUGUAUUCGUUCUUGUCGGAAGCAUUAAUUGUGAUAUCUCCGCCAGUUAGAUUUGCAAAUAUUAGGAGGUAACCCAUGCAUCCUCUUAAACAUCGAUCACACCUGAGACAGACGAGAGAGAGAAGUUGAAACUCCACCAUGAAAGGUGGUGUCUGGUCAGCGGAGGAACCCGCAUGAAUGGCACAGGCCACUCCUAUUCUCUAGUGCAUUUGUUACACGGACCAACUAAGUUUUAUUUUUAAAUAUCUUUUAUGUAUGUUAAAAUACUUAAUUAUCCUUGAAUGUAUUUAAUAAUUACAAAAAAAAUCCAUAAUAAAAUGAUAAAAAAAUUAAUUUAAAGAUCUUUUAAAAAAAUAAAACUGAAUUUUAACUUAAUAAACCGAGUUAAACCGAGUUAACUUCAAGUCAGGUUAAACAGAAUUAAUUUAAAGAUUUUUCUAAAAUAAUGCAGCGCCCGGAACUCUUCUAAUUUCUCUGUUUCUAAUACGAUAUAUUCCUCAUCUCCUACAUAGUAGAACUUUAUCUUGCAGACCAGGAAUGUUAGAGAAUAAUAUAAAUCAUAUCAUGGGACCUCACCCAAUAGCUUAAGCUAUUGAGUUGAGAUGGUUCUUUGACAUGGUAUUAAAGCCUUGAUGACCAAGCGGUCACGAGUUCGAAUCUCACAAUCCCUAUUUAUUUGAUAAAAAUUAAGCACAAGGUAAUGUGGACCUGUGUAAGUUUCAAGUCUAAAGGGCUUUCACUUGAAGGGGUGUGUUAGAAAAUAAUAUAAAUCAUAUCAUGGGAACUUACCUAAUAGUUUAAGUUAUUGAAUUGAGAUAAUUCUUUAAUUUCACAAGGAAUACAAUUAAACACAAGGCACAAAGAUUUGGAGGAUGACUGACCGUAAG
Molecule: long non-coding RNA, 2647 nt
Filed under: Populus trichocarpa (black cottonwood)
Lineage: Eukaryota; Viridiplantae; Streptophyta; Magnoliopsida; Malpighiales; Salicaceae
Description: long non-coding RNA (PTRI_LNC001001)
Source: RNAcentral